UGGGGAAUAUUGGACAAUGGGCGAAAGCCUGAUCCAGCAAUGCCGCGUGAGUGAUGAAGGCCUUAGGGUUGUAAACUGCUUUUGUACGGAACGAAACGGCGAGCUCUAAUAAAGUUUGCUAAUGACGGUACCGUAAGAAUAAGCACCGGCUAACUACGUGCCAGCAGCCGCGGUAAUACGAAGGGAGCUAGCGUUGUUCGGAAUCACUGGGCGUAAAGCGCACGUAGGCGGAUAGUUAAGUCAGGGGUGAAAUCCUGGGGCUCAACCCCAGAACUGCCUUUGAUACUGGCUGUCUCGAGGUCGAGAGAGGUUGGUGGAAUUCCUAGUGUAGAGGUGAAAUUCGUAGAUAUUAGGAAGAACACCAGUGGCGAAGGCGGCCAACUGGCUCGAUACUGACGCUGAGGUGCGAAAGCGUGGGGAGCAAACAGGAUUAGAUACCCCCGUAGUCCCUGAGCGGGCUGGCAAGGCGCAU
Molecule: ribosomal RNA, 472 nt
Filed under: uncultured bacterium
Lineage: Bacteria
Description: bacterial SSU rRNA
Rfam family: Bacterial small subunit ribosomal RNA
Source: RNAcentral